This is a transfer RNA of 83 nucleotides. It matches the Rfam family "tRNA". Rfam says of the family: Transfer RNA (tRNA) molecules are approximately 80 nucleotides in length. The record is from Rfam.
GUCCGCGUAACUCAGUGGUAGAGUGUGAGAUUGCAAUGUUUGAUUAAAUCUUGAAGUCGCGUGUUCGAACCACGCCGCGGACU